UGUCCUACGGGCGGCUGCAGUGGGGAGUAUUGGACAAUGGGGGCAACCCUGAUCCAGCAAUGCCGCGUGGGUGAUGAAGGCCUUCGGGUUGUAAAGCCCUUUCGGCGGGGACGAUGAUGACGGUACCCGCAGAAGAAGCCCCGGCUAACUUCGUGCCAGCAGCCGCGGUAAUACGAAGGGGGCUAGCGUUGUUCGGAAUGACUGGGCGUAAAGGGCGCGUAGGCGGCGCAUUUAGUCAGGCGUGAAAGCCCUGGGCUCAACCUAGGAAUUGCGUUUGAUACUGGUGCGCUGGAGUGCGGGAGAGGAUGGUGGAAUUCCCAGUGUAGAGGUGAAAUUCGUAGAUAUUGGGAAGAACACCGGUGGCGAAGGCGGCCAUCUGGACCGUUACUGACGCUGAGGCGCGAAAGCGUGGGGAGCAAACAGGAUUAGAUACCCUAGUAGUCCU
This 445-nucleotide ribosomal RNA is filed under the name uncultured Rhodospirillaceae bacterium. Its description in RNAcentral is "bacterial SSU rRNA". It matches the Rfam family "Bacterial small subunit ribosomal RNA", at positions 335 to 797 of the family's 1533-position model. The record is from RNAcentral. Lineage: Bacteria; Pseudomonadati; Pseudomonadota; Alphaproteobacteria; Rhodospirillales; Rhodospirillaceae.